This 502-nucleotide long non-coding RNA is filed under the name Fukomys damarensis (Damara mole-rat). Its description in RNAcentral is "lncRNA (ENSFDAG00000024559.1)". Lineage: Eukaryota; Metazoa; Chordata; Mammalia; Rodentia; Bathyergidae. The record is from RNAcentral.
GACCAGAAGAAAAGACAUAAGGAAGCUGAUUUUCUUUCUCUCUGCUCAGUGCUAUGUGAGGAUAAAAUGAAGAAGUCAUCACAUCCAAACCAAAAAGUUGGCUUCCACUGUACAUCACCUCUGUAGACACUUGAUUGUGGACUCCUAGCUUCCAGAUCUGUGAUAAACACGUCUUCAAAUAAUCUUCCAGAAAAGAUUUCAAACUCAUUACUCUUAAUCCUAACUUGGAAUCAACAUGCACAUAAGUUUUCCUGCAUCUCCACCUGUUGUGCCAAUCCCAACCUAUCGACUGAGCAAAGUGCACUUUGAAGAGGAUAGUGGUCUUUUUUUACACACAAGAGGAGAAAAACUGACACUGAUAAUCAACACCGUCUAUGACCAGGACGCUUGUGACACAGUAGUCUUUCAGAUACUUCUUCUUUGUUCUCAGUCUCUUUUCCUUUCUUCCACACAUCUUCCCGUCAACUUGCAGCCAAAUGACUUCUUCAAAGCCAAAUUAGAG